RNAcentral lists this ribosomal RNA (468 nucleotides) under uncultured bacterium. RNAcentral's name for it is "partial 16S ribosomal RNA". It matches the Rfam family "Bacterial small subunit ribosomal RNA", at positions 28 to 507 of the family's 1533-position model. The record is from RNAcentral.
GACGAAGGCUGGCGGCGUGCUUAACACAUGCAAGUCGAACGGAAAGGCCCUGCUUUUGUGGGGUGCUCGAGUGGCGAACGGGUGAGUAACACGUGAGUAACCUGCCCUUGACUUUGGGAUAACUUCAGGAAACUGGGGCUAAUACCGGAUAGGAGCUCCUGCUGCAUGGUGGGGGUUGGAAAGUUUCGGCGGUUGGGGAUGGACUCGCGGCUUAUCAGCUUGUUGGUGGGGUAGUGGCUUACCAAGGCUUUGACGGGUAGCCGGCCUGAGAGGGUGACCGGCCACAUUGGGACUGAGAUACGGCCCAGACUCCUACGGGAGGCAGCAGUGGGGAAUAUUGCACAAUGGGCGGAAGCCUGAUGCAGCAACGCCGCGUGCGGGAUGACGGCCUUCGGGUUGUAAACCGCUUUCGCCUGUGACGAAGCGUGAGUGACGGUAAUGGGUAAAGAAGCACCGGCUAACUACGUG